GAGUUUGAUCAUGGCUCAGGAUGAACGCUGGCGGCGUGCCUAAUACAUGCAAGUCGAACGAACAGAUAAGGAGCUUGCUCCUCUGACGUUAGCGGCGGACGGGUGAGUAACACGUGGGUAACCUACCUAUAAGACUGGAAUAACUCCGGGAAACCGGGGCUAAUGCCGGAUAACAUGUUGAACCGCAUGGUUCUACAGUGAAAGACGGUCUUGCUGUCACUUAUAGAUGGACCCGCGCCGUAUUAGCUAGUUGGUGGGUAACGGCCUACCAAGGCGACGAUACGUAGCCGACCUGAGAGGGUGAUCGGCCACACUGGAACUGAGACACGGUCCAGACUCCUACGGGAGGCAGCAGUAGGGAAUCUUCCGCAAUGGGCGAAAGCCUGACGGAGCAACGCCGCGUGAGUGAUGAAGGUCUUCGGAUCGUAAAGCUCUGUUGUUAGGGAAGAACAAAUGUGUAAGUAACUGUGCAUAUCUUGACGGUACCUAACCAGAAAGCCACGGCUAACUACGUGCCAGCAG
RNAcentral lists this ribosomal RNA (522 nucleotides) under uncultured microorganism. RNAcentral describes it as "bacterial SSU rRNA". It matches the Rfam family "Bacterial small subunit ribosomal RNA", at positions 9 to 514 of the family's 1533-position model. The record is from RNAcentral.